RNAcentral lists this ribosomal RNA (465 nucleotides) under uncultured bacterium. RNAcentral's name for it is "partial 16S ribosomal RNA". It matches the Rfam family "Bacterial small subunit ribosomal RNA", at positions 28 to 507 of the family's 1533-position model. The record is from RNAcentral.
GACGAACGCUGGCGGCGUGCUUAACACAUGCAAGUCGAACGGAAAGGCCCCUUUGGGGGUACUCGAGUGGCGAACGGGUGAGUAACACGUGAGUAACCUGCCCUUGACUUCGGGAUAACUUCAGGAAACUGGGGCUGAUACCGGAUAGGAAUCCUUGCUGCAUGGUGGGGGUUGGAAAGCUUCGGCGGUUUUGGAUGGACUCGCGGCUUAUCAGCUUGUUGGUGGGGUAGUUGCUUACCAAGGCUUUGACGGGUAGCCGGCCUGAGAGGGCGACCGGCGACAUUGGGACUGAGAGACGGCGCAGACUCCAACGGGAGGCAGCAGUGGGAAAUAUUGCACAAUGGGAGCAAGCCUGAUGCAGAAGCGCCGCGUGCGGGAUGACGGCCUUCGGGUUGUAAACCGCUUUCAGCAGGGGCGAUGCUUGUGGUGACGGUACCUGCAGAAGAAGCACCGGCUAACUACGUG